CACCCAAAAAAAGCAGACGGUUGUUCGUAAUAAGAAUUAUUCGCAAAAUUGUCCGAUAAUCAAGAUACCAUGUCUUCGUUUAUCAUCUGUGAAUCGCAACACCGGAAUUCUACAAAGAGGCCAAAGAUCAUCUCUGUGUUUAAUUCUUUUGGAGGAGGCUGUAUUUAUGGCAUCUUUGUAGCAAAUCAGAAAUAUGGAAGUAUAUAUGCAAAAGGUUAGUGAGGCUUUGUGGCUAUUCAGUCUGUAAAAUUCAGUAAGUAGAACUGAUUUAGUAAAUUCGAGGCUUUAAUAGGUUACAUGUAUACAAGCUAAUCAUCAUGUCUGAGUAUAAUUGGAACACUUUGUGCGGCUUCUAAUGAUGUUGUCUUUGGAGCUAUUCAAAAAGCUUGAAGCAAUGUUAAGGUUAUUUAGAUGAUAAGGAUUGCAUACUUUUUUUAGGUCUUACGAAUAUUUAGUUGCUGUUAAACUUUUGAAUGAGUAGAAUUGUGAUAGAAAACAUUGAUUUGUCAAUCUUUGUUAAAAUGAGUCUCGUGAUUGGUAUAUUGUUUUCUAAAGUUUUCAUUAGCAAUAAAUUGCUUUCUUAUAUUGUUUGAUGAUACUUAAUCAUCGUAACUGCUUCUGUAUAUGAAUUAUAUAACUUCAUAUUGCUUAAUAUGAAGUUAGUAAAGCAAACUUUUGAAUUGGAUUUUGAUACUCUGGAAAAAAGAGAAGAUGAAAAGAACAGAUAGUUGAUUCAAAACAACAUUAUUUCUUAUCUAGAAAAUGAUUUCAGUAACCACAAUACUUUCCAAAUGCCUUUAGAUUCUAGCUUUUCCCUGUUAAACAUAUAAAAGAAAUGAUUAUUAUAGGAUAGCAUAUUUCUAAAAAUAUUCAAUCCUUGCUGAUUAUUAGUAUAGAUUGUUACCUCUUGCAUAUCAUGUUGCUUGCAAAGCAAAUUGUUAUAUGUUUUGAAAAUCUUCUUUGAACACCACAUUCAUCGUUGCUUUCUGUGGGUUUCCUUCUUUGUCCAGUAUGAGGAUUUUUUGUCCUUUCUUAGAAGUUACCCUAGAGAUUGCAACAUAAAGUUGGCCAUGUGAAAGGUUUGAUGUCAGCAAGGUUGGUGAUCCCAAGCUUUAACGUGAAGAGAAUAGAUGAAAGCUUUAAAAGAUCCGGAUCAUAAAUGCAAGAGCUUAAUAUCGAGCCUAUUGAUUGUAAGCCCAAUAGGACCACUAAAAAAUUGCACAAAUCGGGUCUGCUAGGAUCCGCGUGUUUUACCGAGUGUAGACCCGAGAUCCGCGUGUUUAUCCGAAUGAUGAUCCGACUAAAGGAUCCAAGAUCCGCGACCCAGUUCGAGCCUAUUGUCCAUUAUACCCCUCGUCUAAAUCUUUUUUUUAGUCGUAGAAUCAAAUAUUUGUAAUGGCAUUUUUUGUAAUUUUUUACCUUUGAUAAGGUUAUU
This is a long non-coding RNA of Arabidopsis lyrata subsp. lyrata, 1435 nucleotides long. RefSeq lists it as uncharacterized. The transcript has 3 exons. The record is from RefSeq and is a predicted model, not a curated record. NCBI's taxonomy places the organism in Eukaryota, Viridiplantae, Streptophyta, Magnoliopsida, Brassicales, Brassicaceae.